Molecule: ribosomal RNA, 253 nt
Filed under: uncultured bacterium
Lineage: Bacteria
Description: partial 16S ribosomal RNA
Rfam family: Bacterial small subunit ribosomal RNA
Source: RNAcentral
UACGUAGGUGGCAAGCGUUGUCCGGAUUUACUGGGCGUAAAGGGCGUGCAGGCGGUUUGUUUAGUCUAGGGUGAAAGCUCCCGGCUUAACUGGGAGAGGUCCUUGGAUACUGGCAAACUUGAGGGAGGCAGAGGAAAGUGGAAUUCCCGGUGUAGUGGUGAUAUGCGUAGAUAUCGGGAGGAACACCAGUGGCGAGGGCGGCUUUCUGGGCCUUACCUGACGCUGAGACGCGAAAGCGUGGGGAGCGAACCGG